CGGGUGAGUACACGUGGGUAACUACCUAUUAGAUUGGAAUAACUCCGGAAACCGGGGCAAUGCCGGAUAACACUUAGAACCGCAUGGUUGUAAAGUGAAAGAUGGUUUUGCUAUCACUUAUAGAUGGACCCGCGCCGUAUUAGCUAGUUGGUAAGGUAAUGGCUUACCAAGGCAACGAUACGUAGCCGACCUGAGAGGGUGAUCGGCCACACUGGAACUGAGACACGGUCCAGACUCCUACGGGAGGCAGCAGUAGGGAAUCUUCCGCAAUGGGCGAAAGCCUGACGGAGCAACGCCGCGUGAGUGAUGAAGGGUUUCGGCUCGUAAAACUCUGUUAUUAGGGAAGAACAAACGUGUAAGUAACUGUGCACGUCUUGACGGUACCUAAUCAGAAAGCCACGGCUAACUACGUGCCAGCAGCCGCGGUAAUACGUAGGUGGCAAGCGUUAUCCGGAAUUAUUGGGCGUAAAGCGCGCGUAGGCGGUUUCUUAAGUCUGAUGUGAAAGCCCACGGCUCAACCGUGGAGGGUCAUUGGAAACUGGGAGACUUGAGUGCAGAAGAGGAAAGUGGAAUUCCAUGUGUAGCGGUGAAAUGCGCAGAGAUAUGGAGGAACACCAGUGGCGAAGGCGACUUUCUGGUCUGUAACUGACGCUGAUGUGCGAAAGCGUGGGGAUCAAACAGGAUUAGAUACCCUGGUAGUCCACGCCGUAAACGAUGAGUGCUAAGUGUUAGGGGGUUUCCGCCCCUUUAGUGCUGCAGCUAACGCAUUAAGCACUCCGCCUGGGGAGUACGACCGCAAGGUUGAAACUCAAAGGAAUUGACGGGGACCCGCACAAGCGGUGGAGCAUGUGGUUUAAUUCGAAGCAACGCGAAGAACCUUACCAAAUCUUGACAUCCUUUGACCACUCUAGAGAUAGAGUUUUCCCCUUCGGGGGACAAAGUGACAGGUGGUGCAUGGUUGUCGUCAGCUCGUGUCGUGAGAUGUUGGGUUAAGUCCCGCAACGAGCGCAACCCUUAAACUUAGUUGCCAGCAUUUAGUUGGGCACUCUAGGUUGACUGCCGGUGACAAACCGGAGGAAGGUGGGGAUGACGUCAAAUCAUCAUGCCCCUUAUGAUUUGAGCUACACACGUGCUACAAUGUACAAUACACAGGUCAACUAAACCGCGAGGUCAUGCAAAUCCCAUAAAGUUGUUCUCAGUUCAGAUUGUAAUCGGCAACUCUACUACAUGAAGCUGGAAUCGCUACUGAUGGUAAAUC
Molecule: ribosomal RNA, 1258 nt
Filed under: Staphylococcus arlettae
Lineage: Bacteria; Bacillati; Bacillota; Bacilli; Caryophanales; Staphylococcaceae
Description: bacterial SSU rRNA
Rfam family: Bacterial small subunit ribosomal RNA
Source: RNAcentral